Molecule: ribosomal RNA, 745 nt
Filed under: Fuscoporia ferruginosa
Lineage: Eukaryota; Fungi; Basidiomycota; Agaricomycetes; Hymenochaetales; Hymenochaetaceae
Description: partial small subunit ribosomal RNA
Rfam family: Bacterial small subunit ribosomal RNA
Source: RNAcentral
AGUCAAUGCUCGAAAGAGUGAACUAGCUAACUGAAAUCCUUGUAUGUGUCAUCAGGGAUAAGGUAAGGGAAAAUAAUGAUACUACCUUACUAUUAGUGUCGUCCAAAACUCGUGCCAGAAGACUCGGUAAGGCGUGAGACGCAAACGUUAAUCAUCUUGAUCAGGCGUAAAGGGUUUGUAGGCUGUUUAUUUCUCUCCCUAGCUUCGCAAAUAAUUCUUUUCUUUGGUUUAUACCGAACAACAGAAUGGAAGCGUAGCAAAAUAUGGUGUUUUUAUCUAAAAUAUCGGUUAUUUUCUAUAAAUUUUAUGGAUGCAUAAAAAAGUAGUAAAAUCUAAAACUAAAAAGUUUUCAAAAAAUUUCUGUUUUUUGAUAAUAGCUUAGCUUUAUGAUGCAACUUUGUUAACUGUUAUUUUUUUAUAAUUUAGGGUAUAUAAACUAGAAUCUAAAGGAGGUUUAAACAAUACUUUUUUAUUCAGGUGUGCGAACCUUAUAGAAAAAGUAGAGUGUUAAAGGCGAAGGCUUUAUUCCAAUAAAGAUUGACGCUGAGAAACGAAGGAGAGGGCAAAAAAAAGAAUUAGAUACUCUUGUAUUCCUCUCUGUAAACGAUGAAUGGUAGUCAUGGGGUAGAAAUAACCUUAAGGCGAUGUUAACACGUAAAACCAUUCCGCCUUGUGAGUACGACUGCAAAGUUGAAAACAAAAAAAUUAGUCAGUUUCGGAGCAAACGAAGUGAAGCAUGUUAUUU